UGGUGUUUUCCAAUAGAAAGCAAUUACAACAUAAUCUCAUCAUCAACAGUAGAAGAAGAAGGCGAAGCAGUUUCUUGCUGAUUUUUUUUUUGUUUUUGUUCCCACCUCAAUCGGAAGAUUGAGAAUUUUGAGAGCAUUGUUUCCCAGAUUUCUAUGUUUUUUCGUUUUGGUUGGGGUUUUGUUGUUCUCUUCUGAGUCAGGUUAUUGAUUGUGGGUUUCGGAAAUUGGGAAUUCGGUUUUAUUGUGUUGGGUUUGAUUAGCUUUUACAGUUAGAGUUACUGAAUUGGGGUUUUCUUGGGUGAUUGAAUUUGAUUGUGUAAUUUCAGGGUUUUGAUUCCGAGUUUGUUGAAAGUUAAAUUCAGUUAGUCGCGUUUAUGCUUAAUUGAAGAGUUGGCUAAUAUGAUUAAUUGAAUUGAAGUUUUGUAAUAUCGUAGUUUCCUGUCCAGGUUUUUGAUUUUGAUGGUAGAUCGUUGAGCUAAGAGAAAGAAGACGAGAGAUUGAAAAUUUUGGUUGAACAGGUUGCUGGGUUUUCAAAGAGCUAGGUCUUCAUUACAUGUUUACUGUCCUCAAUUGGAGCUGCACUGCCUUCAAUUUUUGUGCAACCAAACCAAACCAUCUAUACCAUACAUUACAACACCAAUAAUAUUGUCAUCAUGUACGAAAACAAUCACAAUACCAAAUCCGCAGCAAGGCGCGGACAAAUCUUCCUAUACAUAUACUAAAGCCCCUAGAGCUAGCACUGUUCAUAGCACUGUUUGACUUCAAGGACGGUUUUGCCCCUUUUUUUCCGGUAAUUUACGACUUGCCAUUGUAGAUCUGUAUUUUUCUAAAGGGCGGUUGCAGUUUUUUUUUUUUUUUUUGCGCGAUGGAAGAGUUGUGGUCAGACCAAAAACAAAACGAAGAAAAAGAAAAGAAGUGAUUGUCAUGUUUGAGCAGAAAGCGAGAGAAGGGUAUCUGGUUUUGUUUUGAUAAGAUUGACUUUGUAGCUUGAGUGGGUGCAGGUUCGUAAGUUUUCUCCUUUCUGCUGCUCUAUUGCGUUUGUUAGUUUUUGUGUGAUUUGUUUGGCUUUUGAUUGGGUCUUUUGUUGUCGGCGGUUUUGAAUUUUUAUGGGUUUUUGAUUGGGUCUUUUGCUGUGAGGAAGAAGAAGACCUGCGCUAGCUGCUAUAUCCUUUCAGUAUAUAGGCGAAUCGAGCUUCAUCUUCGCUGUUCUGUGUGAUCAAAUUUUGCCAUCGACGUCAACGAUCGUGAAAGCUUGGUGGGAUUUCAAUUAGUGCUUUGCGUUUUGAGUGGUUCGAGUUUAUGACGGGAAGAUUGGGUUGAAAACAAAUAGAAUAGGUGUGGUAUUUGAUUGUAGUUAUUUUUGUUUAAUUGAUUAGCUGAAAAUUGUCUUUGAUUCCUACUUCCGAAUAUGUGUGAUCAUCUGUUGGCCAUAAAGAUCCAAUCUUGCCUUGCGUGUUUUGAUGACUUGAUAGGUUUUGUUUCUCCUAAUUAAUUUGAGUCAUUAUAUAUGACUUUGACUAACAUGGGAAAUGGGCAAGAGAAAAUUAAACUACUCCCAUCUCAAAAUCUCAUCUCCAUAGAUUUGAUCUAUCUUUGGCAAUGGUGCUUAUUCUUUAUAACACAUAUGUCAGUAGCCAAAAGAAGCAUUGGCUUUGAGGUCUUGAAUAGAAUUUCAUUCAUAGUUGAAGGGUUCUGGGUUGAAUAGAAUUUCAUUCAUAGCUGAAGGGACGUUCUGUUACAGUAACAUAUAGUAAUUGUCUUUCUCCUUUCUUUUUAUAAUCAAUCGAUCAUCGAGUAGACAAGUAUGUAUCAUGUACUGCAAGCGAUAUUUCAUGGUGUUUGAAAGAAAAAUAAUGUAAACCCUAUUCAUGGUGUUUGAGCCAAAUUCAGAUGUGAAGAAAGUAUGAGUUUUAAAAUUGAAGCUGAAGCAGCAGAGGAUAAGGGGUCAAGGCACAUCUCUACUACAAUAAAGGGAGGCGCCAGAUUUGGUGUCAAAGCUUCACCAAAUUUUUGAACUCCCAUAAUUACCCAUGAUUUAAAGAACAGUUCAACUUAAGUGAAAAUUAUCAAUAAGGGAUAGCAAUGUAAAAUACAAAAACAUAAAUAAGAAAAUAAAUACGGAAUCAUUGAGGAAAACAGAAAUUGCCGGCAGUUAGCACGAUCUGCUCGAAGAACGACUGGCGGGGCGCACGAUUGGAGACGGAAGGCGGACGUGGGAAAUGAUUGGAGUGGAUAUGGCUUCCUUAUUAUUCACCCCACUCUCAAUUUACGGUUCAUAUAAAAGGAGAAGGGAAAGAGGAGCAGAGCAAAAUCAAACCCAGAAAGAGGAAAAAAUUAGAAUCAAAUCGGAGACUUUCAGAUUUCGUGUUCCAUUGAUUUGUCAUUGAUUUGGGUGUCCUAUUUCCAUUGAUGUGGGCAGAGCGGAUUCUUAAUCAAACCCAAAAGGCAGAAUAAUAGGUAUCAACUCGAGCGACAGUGUUGCGGAUUCAGUAGAGGUCAGCCUUGAUAAUUGUUUCCAGAUUUUGAAUUUCAUUUAUUUGGGUUUUCGUUUUCGAUUGAAGUUCCAUGUGUUAAUUAUUACAUUGGGUAAUUUCAAAGAGUGGGUGAUUGCCAAAUGCUGCUUCGCUUUCUUUCAAUUUUUGCAGGUAAAUGUAUGGGAGAUUUCGGAACAUUGUGAAAGUUGGUGUCGGCUAAUAUUAGUUGCAGUGGAGCCACCAAGGUUUUAGUAAGGCCAUUCUGCAGUGGUUAAUUAUAACUCAAACAGAGGAACAAAAUUAAAAUCAAAAUCGACUCAGUUUUGGCGAAUUACCUAAAGGUACCUGUAAAGUAUUUGAUUGGACUUGAAAGGAAAAGCGCAAGACCAGUCUUCUUGGUUCGUCUUUCUUGGAGCAUGUUAAGGAGAUAUUGGAACCUGAUACUUUUAUUGCUGCAGCGCCUUGGGUGUACUACCCAAUAAUUGAAAAGUAUUCAAUAUAUUUGACAUAGCUCUUCAGCGCUUCCAAACCGAGCAUGGAAAAGGGUUUCCAACUCAUUUCUCCCAGAUAGGGGCUCCUGACUUCUAUACCAUUCAAAGGCCGACAAGGUUGGAAAAAGCGUCAUUUUUUUAUCACUGCUCUGAACAAGACAGCAAGCUUCAAGGACGCUAUAAACACAGACAUGCCAAAAUACUGCAACCAUCAAGUAAAGAUGCGGCCUCAAGUAAGGCCUUGAUUAGAAUUUGAUCUAAUUCAAACUCGCCGUAUUUGAUUCCUUAUUGAUUGUUAUGGGACAAGUUUCUUCAUCACGCUCUCAGCCAUCGAAUGAUGGCCAGGAACCAUCCCGUGUUCAUGCACCCAAUGCAGAAAGGCAAAGUACAAAUACCUCUCAAGGAGAGAGGAGACAAUCAGUGAUUUCUUCAGAAGCUAUUUUAUCGCAGUCUCACCCACUGGAUGAAGAUCAGGGACACACCCGUCUUCGUAUACUAGAUGCAGAAAGACAACGUAGAACUAAUUAUCAAAGAGAGAAGCGACAGUCAUUGAAUUCUUCACAACGAGCAGAAAGUUUAGCCCGAAGACGUGCUAAUUACCACUUACGGCGACAGUCGCGAAAUACAAGUGUGGAGAACAGAAGUAUGACAAAUCAACUAGAAGCAAUGGCUGGUAACUUACUACAAUGAGUCAUCUAAAAGACAAACAUCUUCAACCUUUUGUAUAACUAUUUGGAACAGAUUGCUUUCUUAUUUUGGUGGCCCACAUGUAAAUGUUCUUAUAUAUAUAUAUAUAUAUAUAUAUAUAUAUACACCUGUGCUAAAAUGGUCGAUAAAAGCACCGAGUGUAAUGUUUUAUUUUUUAUUUUUAAGAAAUAAUUUUGUUAUGUUGACAACACGUUGCCAAGUGUGUUAGAAGAGAGUGGUGGUUUAAUCAAGACUCCAAACCAAGACCCUUGGAGUUCUAGAAUGGUAUUUUUUUUUUUUUGCUACAAACUAUGACAUGAUGUUGAUUGUAGCUUUAUGUCAUGUUGUACAUAUCGACAUCUUUCCUUUAACCUGUAGCUUCAUAGCAGGGAUUUGGGAUUUUAGGAGCUGAUGAAAUGCUUAGUUUGUACCUGUAUUAAUGCAAGAUGAAUAUUGGUUGCUGGUGUUAUUUCAAAAAAGAAUUACAUGUGAAUUUCAAAGGCUUAUGAGGUUAUUGAAA
Rosa rugosa (rugosa rose) is the source of this 4172-nucleotide long non-coding RNA. RefSeq lists it as uncharacterized. The transcript is spliced from 11 exons. The record is from RefSeq and is a predicted model, not a curated record. Lineage: Eukaryota; Viridiplantae; Streptophyta; Magnoliopsida; Rosales; Rosaceae.